RNAcentral lists this ribosomal RNA (484 nucleotides) under uncultured bacterium. RNAcentral describes it as "partial 16S ribosomal RNA". It matches the Rfam family "Bacterial small subunit ribosomal RNA", at positions 29 to 507 of the family's 1533-position model. The record is from RNAcentral.
AUUGAACGCUGGCGGCAUGCUUUACACAUGCAAGUCGAACGGCAGCGCGGGCUUCGGCCUGGCGGCGAGUGGCGAACGGGUGAGUAAUACAUCGGAACGUGCCCAGUAGUGGGGGAUAGCUCGGCGAAAGCCGGAUUAAUACCGCAUACGGCCUGAGGGUGAAAGCGGGGGAUCUUCGGACCUCGCGCUAUUGGAGCGGCCGAUGGCAGAUUAGCUAGUUGGUGGGGUAAAGGCCUACCAAGGCGACGAUCUGUAGCUGGUCUGAGAGGACGACCAGCCACACUGGGACUGAGACACGGCCCAGACUCCUACGGGAGGCAGCAGUGGGGAAUUUUGGACAAUGGGCGAAAGCCUGAUCCAGCAAUGCCGCGUGUGUGAUGAAGGCCUUCGGGUUGUAAAGCACUUUUGGCGGGAACGAAGAGGACUGUGCCAAUACCACGGUUCGAUGACGGUACCCGCAGAAUAAGCACCGGCUAACUACGUG